This 377-nucleotide ribosomal RNA is filed under the name uncultured bacterium. RNAcentral describes it as "bacterial SSU rRNA". It matches the Rfam family "Bacterial small subunit ribosomal RNA", at positions 521 to 896 of the family's 1533-position model. The record is from RNAcentral.
UAAAACGUAGGAGGCGAGCGUUAUCCGGAUUCAUUGGGCGUAAAGGGCAAGUAGGCGGUAGCUCAAGUUGGGCGUGACAUCUCCCGGCUCAACUGGGAGGGGUCGUCCAAAACUAGGCUACUAGAGGGCAGGAGAGGGAAGUGGAACUCCUAGUGUAGCGGUGGAAUGCUCAGAUACUAGGAAGAACACCAGUGGCGAAGGCGACUUCCUGGCCUGUUCCUGACGCUGAGAGGCGAAAGCUAGGGGAGCAAACGGGCUUAGAUACCCCGGUAGUCCUAGCCGUAAACGUUGGAUACUGGGUAUUGGGGGUAUAGAUUCCCGCAGUGCCGAAGCUAACGCGUUAAGUAUCCCGCCUGGGGACUACGGCCGCAAGGUUA